AUCUGUAAUCCCAGCCAUAAGGGGAUAUUGAGGCUGACAGUUCCCUUGAGCUUGGGAACUCUGAGCUGUAAUGGGCCGUGCCAAUGAGCUAGGCACACUAAGGUCAGAAUUAAUAUGGUGGGCCCUUGUAAGUGGGAAUACCACCAAUUUGCCUAAGAAGGGGUGAACUGUCCCAGGUUGGACACAGAACUGCUCAAAGUUUGCGUGCCAAUCAGUAAUGGGAUAGGGCCUGUGAAUAGUCUUUGUACUUCCAGCCUAAGUGAUACAGGGAAGCAAUUUUAAA
RNAcentral lists this non-coding RNA (283 nucleotides) under Phascolarctos cinereus (koala). The record is from RNAcentral. Lineage: Eukaryota; Metazoa; Chordata; Mammalia; Diprotodontia; Phascolarctidae.